RNAcentral lists this ribosomal RNA (204 nucleotides) under uncultured bacterium. RNAcentral describes it as "partial 16S ribosomal RNA". It matches the Rfam family "Bacterial small subunit ribosomal RNA", at positions 130 to 334 of the family's 1533-position model. The record is from RNAcentral.
CGCGUACUCUUGUGAGCCUUCUGAAAGGAAGAUUAAUACAAGAUGGCAUCAUGAGUUCACAUGUUCACAUGAUUAAAGGUAUUUCCGGUAGACGAUGGGGAUGCGUUCCAUUAGAUAGUAGGCGGGGUAACGGCCCACCUAGUCUUCGAUGGAUAGGGGUUCUGAGAGGAAGGUCCCCCACAUUGGAACUGAGACACGGUCCAA